This 540-nucleotide long non-coding RNA is filed under the name Mytilus galloprovincialis (Mediterranean mussel). The record is from RNAcentral. Lineage: Eukaryota; Metazoa; Mollusca; Bivalvia; Mytilida; Mytilidae.
GGGGUGGGCUGUUUUCAGGACUUUGUCGAGACUGUCUCACCAAAUCACGAUCCUAACCAUGAAAGACGCUAUAUGCCAAAUCGCGUUGAAUCUACUUAAAAUUGUUGAACUUGUUUAAACACGAGUAGAUUUCCCUCUUGACUGAGGUUAUUUUGCCAAACAUGAGUGUUUGUAUAUUGUAUGGGAACGGAAUAGUUUCUAUCGUACGUUUUCGAACAAGGAAGUACACUCGAGAAGAAAAUGCUUACUGCUCUCCAUUCUACCACAAGUACAGUUUUUAAUUUCUUCAAGAUUUCUCAUAAAUAAAUGUUCGUUUAGAUUACUGAAAUCCAUCCGAAGUCUGGCAUGAAGUAUUUGUCCUUUCCUGUCUACAUAAAAAUAAUAAUUUGGUAUUUUACUUACGUUUUGAUAAAGGUAACGUUUAAGUGUAAACUUAGAUGGACCUAAUCUGAUAUCGUCCGGAAAACAUUCCAGGAUCGAAUAACUGAUGGAAGAAAAGAUUUCUGAUAAAAUGCUGUUCUACACUUUAUAUGUUGCGUG